AAUAGUUAUGAGAAAGUUUUUCACGAUCGUUCCGUUUUAAAUAAUUCGCUGUUUGCGCAACGUGGAGUUAUACUAAAUCAUUCACAGAAUAUUACAAACAUCCAAAUUUCUAUUGGGAAUUUAUUACUCGAUUCUACACGAGAUUUUCGAAAUUUUCUAAUUUCCUUCCAUUGGGCGAAACACACGUGAGACAGCGGGUAAUAUCAGGUAGCGUGAGAGUUGAGAGUCUACCUGUGACGUAAGUACUGACCACAGAACAAUUAAAAAAUACCGUUUCCAUGCAAACGUACAUACCUGUUAUUAUAAAAGGGAAAAAUGUUUCGAGAAAUUUUCGAAGAAGUUUUAAGGAAUAUAAAACCAUAAAGUUCCGUACGAUACAUUAUUCUCGUUGCCAGAGGAGACGAUGGACAAGUUAUAAGAAGUAGACCUGCUCCAAUAGCCAAGCAGGUAAGAUGAGCUUACAAACACGUUGUGACUUGUUCCCAACAGCUAUUACAUGCGCUCUGAGAAGUAGAAGUCCAUACGUAUCAGACAGCAGAGAUAAGUGCACUCGCAGAUAAUACACAAAAAUAUAACAAGGAUGCCUGUGCAAGCGUAAGCCACAUAGGAUUUAAAAACACAGCAUAUACUUUAAAUGCAUAAAAAAAGCAACACAUAAUCCAAAAGAUAAAACACAGAUUACCCAUAACAAAACCACUAGACCAGUUGAUACCACAAUGAACCAAACAAUAAAUCUCAACCUUGAAGAUAUACAUCCAACAAAUAUUUCAAAAAAAAAGUUCCAGGAAAGAUGGGUAGUAAUCCAAUCCAAAAGAGAAAAGAAAGCAACAACUUUAUCAAACAAAAAUCUGAAGAAAAAUGAAACAUUGAAGAAAAACGAAAACAAUCUCAAUCCAUUCUUGCUAUCUGCAGCUGAUAAUACAGGUAACUAUGACAACAACAGUGUUACAUUUAACAGAUUUGAAAUUCUAUAGAGUGUAGCUGAUGACACAGCAAUGGAAGCAGAACCGAAACCUAGAAAACCACAACCAAUCAUAAUACCCAAUGUCAGCAAUAUCCAAAAACUAUCUGAAAUGCUAACAAAGCUAGAGGUAAAUUAUGGGUAUAAAAUUGAAAGAAACAAUACAAUUAGAAUCCAGCCAGUGACUAUACAUGACUAUAGAAAAGUUAGACAAGAACUAGAACAACUAGGAGUAGAAUACAACACAUUCCAACUAAAAAAGGACAGACCAUUCAGAAUGGUAAUCAGAAAUUUACACCCAACAACAGAGCCGAAGGAAAUUGCAGAAGAAUUAAAAGCAUUGGGAUAUGAAACGUCAAAAUGACCAUACAAUGUUAAACAUAAAGUCAUAAAACAACCUCUACCAAUCUUCUUUGUAGAUCUAAUACGUAGUGCGGUCCAUAAGUUCGUGACUUAACAUAGAAGAAAAGAUUGGUAAAGAAAAACACUUAUCUUAUUUCUCAAUAUAGUCACCCUUUAUUUCAAUACAUUUUUUACACCUUUAGAUAAUUGCAUCUAUACCGCUGUAAAAGUAGUCUGAAGUUUUGUUUCUAAAAUGUUCGUUGACGGUUUCCUUCACCUUUUCAUCGGUGCCAAAUUUCCUUCCCCUGAGAUCCGCUUUUAAUUUUGAAAAUAAAAAAUAAUCGCUAGGAGCUGAAUCUGGACUGUACGGUGGAUGGUUUAUUUCAGUAAAGCGUAAUUUGCGAACGGUAGAUUUUUUGUUAGAGCAGCAACGCGGCUAAUUUUUCCCCUGCGUUUUUGAACAAUGACUUUACGCAAUUGGUGCAAAAGGUUAGAGUAAUAUUCGGCAUUCACAGCGGUGUUUGGCUGCUUGAAAUCUAUAAAAAGAAUACUCUCGCAAUCCCAGAAAAUUGUGGCCAUAAUCUUUUUUUUACUUUGUGUGACUUUCGCUUUCUUGGGUGCUGGUUCUCCCUUCUUAUGCCAUUCUAUCGAAUCCCUUUUUGAUGUUGGAUCAUAAUACAACACCAUUGUUUCAUCACCAGUUACUAUUGACUUGAUAACACCUUGCUUAUCCACUUCACACAGCUGCAAAAAUUCUCUACAGCACCUCACCCUCUGCUGCUUUUGGACAGCACUUAAAAUUCGUGACACUCACCGUGCACUAAUUUUUGACAUUCCUAGAUGGUCAUGAAGGAUACGAAGAACAGUUGUCUUGGAAAGCGUUGCCCUUUUUGCAAUUUCCUUCGUCUUUAAUCGACGAUUACUCAGAACAAUUUCCUCCACUAACUUCACGUUUUCUGGUAUGGCCUCGUUAACCGGUCGACUACUGCGUGGGUCAUCUUCGAUUGACUCUCUUCCCCAACGAAAUAACUUCGACCAAUUUUUGAUCAGACUGUACGACGAUGCAGAGUCGCUAUAAACAUUAUCCAUCCUUUCCUUGAUCUGGUUUGGCGUUAAUCCUUCUAUAGUUAAAAAUUUAAUUACCGCACGAUGUUCAAGUUUUUCCAUUUUUUUCUUCUCCUCGCCAACUUGCACUUGCUUUUUCGUCUGUUGCUCGGAAACUGAUGUUCGCAUCGCAACUAAACUACGUAUGCAUAUUAAUAAAACAUAGAAGUUCUUUGACGUAAUAAUCAUUCGGUAAAAUUUGCGACGGAAAUAUCUUAGGUCACGAACUUAUGGACCGCACUACGUAUGUAUUAGAUACGCUUCAAAAUACCAAAAUUACAAUAGAACCUCUUAGAAUAAGAAAAGAACUAGUACAAUGUGAUGGCGCACUGUGCGACUCGUUACAAUGAAUCGAAAGUACGCUGUGUUUAGUUUCUUAAGAUCCGACUCGAAGAAUAAACUUGAUAAAUAAUCCGUCGUGCACUGUGCAAAGAAUCAAUAUAAUUGUAAGUAUAACAAACUUAACAGCAAGGAUACAAGGAUAACAAUGAUGUAGAUGUUGAUUUGACGUAUCGAAAGUCCAGAAUGCAGGUGACCACGUAAUAUACAAGAGUCCUCUCGUCAAUAUUACAAGAGUCACCCGGAGAAAUCUCUGUCGUUCGUCCGUACGACUUUGAAUAUCUGUAAUUGCGGCCCAAGACAGCUCCCUUUAAAGCUGUGCUUGGCAAAGUGAUGACUCCUAAUUGGUGGAUUCUGUUUUUUUGUGAUCGGCAAGGAGGCGGUCGUUAGAUGAAACACACGCCUCCAACGUAACGGUCAUCUUCAGUCGUGGCGUGACGUAUUCGGGAAUUCCUAAAAUCCUGAUUUUGGUGCUGUUUUAAAAGGUACUGCAACAAAAUAAAACUACAUCGUCCUAUACCUGUUUGCGCGUUCAGGUUUACAAUUUCGAACGGUUUACAAUUUACUACAGCAAUUUACCUGUCAUAAACCGACUGCAAUAAACCCCUAAAUAAAAUCUAAACACAAUGUAAAAGAUGUAAAAGACACGGGCAUAUACAAAAAUACUGCACUAGAACUCCUAGAUGCGUUAAAUGUACCAAAUAUCAUCCCCCAACUGGAUGUGGAAGGAAUAACAGAGAUAAAAACAUUAGAUGCACUAAUUGUGGAGAAAAGUAUCCUGCAAACUACAAAGGCUGCGUGGCAUAUACUACUGCUUGGAAAAGGAAAUAUAAAUCACAACACUCAACAACCAUAUGAAACACAUGCUAAAACCCAACAAUACUUAAGGAAAGGCUUAUCCUAUGCAAGUGUAAUCAAACAACAAUCAAGGUUAUGCUAGUAACGGUGAUCUACACAAAUCAAAUUAAUCCACAAGUCUGAGAAACCUCCAGAAGAAGUUACUUCUUAUAGACCAAUAAGUUUACUACCUAUUGUCUCCAAACUAUUUGAAAAACUGCUAAUUUACAGACUAAAAUCUGCAAUAAACAAACUAAUUCCAAAACACGAAUUUGGAUUUCAACAAUAACACGCCACCAUAGAGCAAGUACAUAGACUGGCUAACAAAAUCAGGAGAGAUCUAAAAGACAGGAGAUACUAUCAGGGCUUUAUCUACCCCUAAGCAGAUUUUAUUAGGAGUCCCACAAGGUAGUGCCCUAGGACCACUGGUAUAUACUAUUUACACAUCAAACUUUCUGAUGAUGAACAACACUUUCAUUGCUACUUUAGCCGAUGGUACGGUCAUCCUAGCCUCUGACCUAUAUCUACAAGAAACCUCAAACAAACUACAACAACACCUCAUUAAAAUAGAACAAUGGAUGAAAAUAUGAGGAUCAAAAUUAACACUACUAAAUUCAUACAGGUCACCUUCACAACCAGAAAAAAACAUGUCCACCUGUAAAACUAAACAACGAACCAUUACCACAGGAAGAGACAAUUAAAUAUCUCGGGCUACACUUAGACAGAAAACUUUUAUGGAAAACGCACAUCUGUAAAAAAGUAGGACAACAGAACAAAUGAUAUAGGAAACUUUGGUGGCUAAUUGGAACAAAAUCACAACUAACACCCUACAGUAAACUUUUACUAUACAAAACUAUCCUCAAACUGAUAUGGUCAUACGCCUGCCAGUUGUGGGGAACAGCAUCAACCUCAAACAUAAACACAAUAGAGAGAUGGUAAAACAAAAAACUGAGGUCCAUUUUGAACAUGAAAUGGUAUAUCCCAAACAAACAAAUAUACAAGGAAACCAGGAUACCCACCGUCAAAGAGGAAAUUGCAAAACAAAGCAGAUCAUAUCAACAAAGACUGAAAAAUCACCCCAACAACCAGGCCACAAAACUAUUAGACAUCUCAGACGAACGUGGAAGACUCAGGAGACAUCACUUCCUACAGCUACCAUACAGAUUUAGUGAUAUAAACUAAAUUUGCCAUAGUAAUGCACCAGCGGGUGUAUUCACGCUAAUACCUUUCAAUCCCCAAAAUAAGUGUUAAAUAUUAUUAAAUGAUAGAUUGCACAUAUACAGAAGUUAUAAUAAAAAAAACUUGUGCAGGUAAAAUAGAGGCGCACGUUCCAAGUAUCAUGUCAUUAUGCUGUGAUGAAAAACAUUUUAUUGUAUACAUACAAUACGUUACUCACGUCAGCCAAGCCGACCUGUGACUCAGAAGUGAAGAAGGGCAAGAGGACUCGACCACACGCUUCACCUCAGCUCGCGGCUCGGCCAUUAAUAAAGACAAAACUAAUUUCGCCAUUAGUAUCGGACCGAGCGCUGUGAGUGGACGUCUCCCCUUACACCUCUUCACUUUUAAGCCACAGGCCGACUUGGUCAGCAUGAGUACCGUACAGUAGGUCUCCUUUACUCAUGUUUCGCUGGAGUUUUUGCUCCCAACCAUGCCAGAACUCCUGAUUCAUGCAUUGGCUCCACUUCAGUUCUAAGCGAACGGCAUGUGGUCGAAAUUGUUUUACGACAGCAACAGUGAUGACUAUUUUUUGGAAACUGUUCGUCUUCUUCUAUUCUAAACCGUCUUUCCUUUGCCAACUAAUGCAGGAGUCUGACAUCGAUGCCAGUUACUGCUACUGUGUCCGUCCUACACACGCCUCAACUUGCAUUGUGAAACUAUAGAAGUUGCCGUUUGCAUCGCAGCAUGUUUCAGCGUGUAUGGUGCCCUUAGCAGAUUCGUUUGGUCAACAGAUGCUCUCUGUGCCUGUAAACCGCUUUUGUCCUUGUUUUAACGGUAGAAAUUCGCGACAAUUAGCUUAAGAUUUUCUUAAUUUUCACCGACAAUGAGUAUUACUAAACUGAAAAAUCUGCCAGUCACGAAUAUCUUAACCCUUUUGCUAUUAGCGGUGACUAGUCACCCACUGUCGCGCACUCACUGUGUCCUACUGGUGAAUAUAGUCACCCGCUGAUAUUUUUGUACAUAACCAAAAAGUUAUUGUUAUCAAUCAUGUGAUGCAGGUUUAUGUGUGUAUUCUAGUUCUCAAAUGUAUCACACGGAAUUUAACUAUUAAGCAAUUUUUGGGAUCUGAAUAUUUAUAAUGCAUUACAUUAUUAUAUCUCAUCCUUUACCUACUCCUCGAUGAAACGUACGUUCGCGUUUUAAGUGGCUGUUCGGUGGAACCAUAUGCGCGAAAUACAUAAAUACAUAACAAUAAAUUUUAUUAAAAUUCAAUUCCGCUGAUACUAUAGAAAUCAAUAAUUUAUUAUUUGAAUUUGUAUAGAGUUUAUAUAUCAAUGCAAGUUUCAUUAUUUUUCUUCAGUUUCCUGACAAACUUUGAGUGCUUGAUCAAGGUCAGCCAAAAUAUCACGUUCUGUUUCAAGGCCAACAGAUAAACGAAUUAAUUGAUCAGUGAUACCCAAUUCUGUUCUUGUUUCUUCAGGAAGUGAUGCAUGUGUCAUAGCAGAUCUAUGAAGACAAUGUGUAAAUGAAACGUUCUUUCCAAUCAGAUAUACAGAAUGUGCUGUAUAACUCCGCCAACUUUAAUUAUUCUCUUAUUUGUCAGAAUGUAAGAAAUGUAUUGGGAGAAAGUUUUUGUAUUUCAAGAGGGAAAUUAAGAUACAUAAGAGUAAAAGUUUUAAUUCCACAUGUUUUGAGAUUUUAAUGAAAGGAAUAUUUGUUUGAAUGGCACGAUUUGCGACAUUUUCAGUGUACGAUUAUUUCUGUGCCAUAACGCAUUGUUAGAUGCGCUUCAAUUUCACUUUCUUAAUGAUAAGGAAAAAAUAGAUAGUUCUAUUUACAAUAACAUUACCAUGAGUAUAAUCUUAAAAAAUAUUAGAAGUGACCUCGAGAUGAUCUUUAUUUUCUCAGUCGAAUUUUCACCCUGAAAUACAAUAACUUUUCCCCCAUUUUUUUUAUUUCGACAAGAAGGUAAUUAAGGGUGGCAGUGUUAGGUGUGAUACCUUGUAUAACAGAUAUGUAUAUAGUUAUUUACUUACGGUAACUCAGCAAGAGAUUCAGGUCCACCAAGCGAAUCAGCUAAUGCGAACACUUUCAAUGCUGUUAAAAAUUUCCUAGAGUCACCUUUAAGGUAAAAUGAUAUCAUUCCACUAUGACCAGAUGAUUGUCUAAGGGCAAGUUCGUGCUGUGGAUGUGACGGAAGAUCUGAAAUUUAAUUAAUUUAACUGUUGUUAUUAAAUAAUAUAGCAUAGCCAAAUUUAAUUGCAUAAUAAACUCUAACAGCGUCAUGCCACUUGAAAAAACUUGUAAUAUAUUAAAAGUAAUAUGAUAAUAUUCUUUAGAAGUAGUAUACUUUAUACAAACACAUACAUGGGUGAAUUACUUUCUUCACAUAAGGAUGUGAUUCUAAAAAUUUUGCAACUGCUAAUCCAUUUUUCAUGUGUUGUUGCAUUCUGAGUUCUAAUGUUUUUAGACUACGAUUAAUUAAAUAACAGUCGAAAGGUGACGGCACAAUACCCAAAGCUAAAAUAAUGUAAUUAUAAAUAUCAGUUUAAAAUAAAAAGAAAUAGUUGAACAUGUAAGUUACAGAAAUAAUAUAAAUAUACAUUUUUGAAAAAAUCGAAGUUUUUCUGCAAUAGCAUCGUUCCUUGUUACUGCUGCACCAGAAACAACAUCUGAAUGCCCACCCAUAUAUUUCGUUAAAGAAUACAUUACAAUAUCUGCACCUAAUUCUAAUGGCCUCUAUAAUAAAAAUGCACGUAAUACAAUACACUUUAUUAAAUCACAGCAUUGAAUGAAAAGCAUUACCGACCUGAUAGUAACAAGUUAAGAAAGUAUUAUCUACCACUAUAAUAAUUUCAGG
Nomia melanderi (Alkali bee) is the source of this 7601-nucleotide non-coding RNA. The record is from RefSeq and is a predicted model, not a curated record. Lineage: Eukaryota; Metazoa; Arthropoda; Insecta; Hymenoptera; Halictidae.